AUGGAGGAGGCGGAGAAAGGGGAGAUAUUGGAGUGGAACGCCAAGCCAAGCUCCAUGGAGGAGGCGGAGAUCUUCGAGAGGAACACCAAGCCGAGCAACGGGUAUCGCCACCACUUUGUCGGUUUCUCCGGCGGCACAGCCUCCUUUGACCCUUCCCUCCCUUACCUGUAUCCUAACAAGGAUGAGGGCAUCACCCAGGUGGAUGCUUGCAAUGGCCUCGUUCUCUACCGCCGUUACAACAGCAGCAGGCAUGAUUACCAUUUUGUUGUGUGCAAUCCCGCCACCGGGUGGUGGGUGGAGGUGCCACCUCAACCUCAAAAGCCGGAGCCAAUGAACAGACUUAACCAUACUGCAGGCCUAGCUUUCGAUCCAGCAGUCUCGUCCCAUUUCCAUGUUCUUUGUUUCGAGCGGACCUUUCCGAAAACUUUGAUCGCAGGAGUGAACAUCUACUCGUCUCGCACAGGAGCCUGGAUUCAUAGAGACAGUGGGAUAGUUGAGAAAGCUACCCUGUUCAGGAGUAAAUGUGUCUUUGUUGGUGGUAUGCUGUACAUCAUGGGUAACGUGGUGGACACCAACGGUGAGUAUGUGCUGGUGGGGGUGGACAUGGAGGGGAAAGUGUGGAAGACUAUCCGUGUGCUGUACGGUUCAAAAUUUGGUACUAUUGGAUUGUCGCAGGGGUGCUUACACUAUGUUGUAGCUUCUGUCAAUAAUAACAAUGAAAUCCUAGUUUCUGAGAUAGCACUCUGGUGCCUCAAGGAUUGGGACAGUAAAGAAUGGGUCCUGAAGCAUACUGCCAGCAUUGAUACGCUUAUGAGCAUGACUGGGGAGAAGUACAGGGUGGUUGAGAUUCAUCCAGAUUGUGACACAAUUUUCCUGGCUCAGUGUGGAGGUGAUACCUUGAUAUCAUAUGACAUGUGGCAUCAGAAAGUUGGCUGUAUCAUUAAUCUUGAGAGAAGCAGUGUGCACAGAUUUCUACCCUAUGUUCCUCUGUUCUCAGAGCCAUUAGCAGAUGCUGAGGGGUAG
This 1023-nucleotide ribosomal RNA is filed under the name Triticum aestivum (bread wheat). Its description in RNAcentral is "partial small subunit ribosomal RNA". The record is from RNAcentral. Lineage: Eukaryota; Viridiplantae; Streptophyta; Magnoliopsida; Poales; Poaceae.